This 323-nucleotide ribosomal RNA is filed under the name uncultured cercomonad. RNAcentral's name for it is "SSU rRNA". The stretch from base 108 to 323 matches the Rfam family "Eukaryotic small subunit ribosomal RNA", at positions 738 to 955 of the family's 1831-position model. Lineage: Eukaryota; Cercozoa; Cercomonadida; Cercomonadidae. The record is from RNAcentral.
GAUUUCUGGUUUGACGUUCAUGGCCCGGUUCGGUUUACGGACUGCGUUGCCUUCGUGCGUCUUCCAUCCUUCGGGAAAACACCUCUGCCCUUUACUGGGUUGGAAGUGCUAUCCCGAUCUUUUACUUUGAAAAAAUUAGAGUGUUUAAAGCAGGCUUGCGCUAUGAAUACAUUAGCAUGGAAUAAUAAUUUAGGACUUUGGUCUUAUUUUGUUGGUUUCUAGGACUAAAGUAAUGAUUGAUAGGGACAGUUGGGGGUGCUAGUAUUCAGCGGCCAGAGGUGAAAUUCUUGGAUUCGCUGAAGACUAACUUAUGCGAAAGCAUU